UGGCUCAGGACGAACGCUGGCGGCGUGCCUAACACAUGCAAGUCUACGAGAAUGAGGUAGCAAUAUCUCUAGUAAAGUGGCGCACGGGUGAGUAACACGUAAGCAAUCUGCCCUUAGAUCUGGAAUAACCACGAGAAAUCGUGGCUAAUACCGGAUAAUGCAGCGGCACCGCAUGGUGAUGUUGUUAAAGUUUCGACGUCUAAGGAUGAGCUUGCGUCUGAUUAGCUAGUUGGUGAGGUAACGGCCCACCAAGGCAACGAUCAGUAGCUGGUCUGAGAGGAUGAUCAGCCACACUGGAACUGAGACACGGUCCAGACUCCUACGGGAGCAGCAGUGAGGAAUAUUGGGCAAUGCCCGCAAGGGGGUGACCCAGGCAACGCCGCGUGGGAGGGAUGAAUGGCCGUAAGGGUUGUAAACUCCUGUUAGAGGGGGACGAAUAAUUCCGAUUGCAUCGGGAACUUGACGGUACCCUCAGAGAAAGCCCCGGG
Molecule: ribosomal RNA, 488 nt
Filed under: uncultured Ignavibacteriaceae bacterium
Lineage: Bacteria; Pseudomonadati; Ignavibacteriota; Ignavibacteria; Ignavibacteriales; Ignavibacteriaceae
Description: bacterial SSU rRNA
Rfam family: Bacterial small subunit ribosomal RNA
Source: RNAcentral